UACGUAGGGCGCAAGCGUUGUCCGGAAUUAUUGGGCGUAAAGAGCUCGUAGGCGGUUUGUUGCGUCGGCUGUGAAAUCCUGAGGCUCAACCUCGGGUCUGCAGUCGAUACGAGCAAACUAGAGUGUUGCAGGGGAGACUGGAAUUCCUGGUGUAGCGGUGAAAUGCGCAGAUAUCAGGAGGAACACCGGUGGCGAAGGCGGGUCUCUGGGCAACAACUGACGCUGAGGAGCGAAAGCGUGGGGAGCGAACAGG
Molecule: ribosomal RNA, 253 nt
Filed under: uncultured bacterium
Lineage: Bacteria
Description: partial 16S ribosomal RNA
Rfam family: Bacterial small subunit ribosomal RNA
Source: RNAcentral